RNAcentral lists this ribosomal RNA (492 nucleotides) under uncultured bacterium. RNAcentral's name for it is "partial 16S ribosomal RNA". The stretch from base 53 to 492 matches the Rfam family "Bacterial small subunit ribosomal RNA", at positions 26 to 507 of the family's 1533-position model. The record is from RNAcentral.
GGGGGGGGGGGGGGGGGGGGGGGGGGGGGGGAGGGCGGGCGGGGGGGGGGGGAGAGCGGGGGCUGGCGGGGGGCGAGGGGCGGAGGGGUGAGGAAUGCAGCGGAAGCGGCGUUGUCGUGGGGGAUCACGUAGGGAAACUUACGCUAAUACCGCAUACGACCUACGGGGGAAAGCAGGGGAUCUUCGGACCUUGCGCGAUUGAAUGAGCCGAUGUCGGAUUAGCGAGUUGGCGGGGUCAAGGCCCACCACGGCGACGCUCCGUAGCUGGUCUGAGAGGAUGAUCAGCCACACUGGAACUGAGACACGGUCCAGACUCCUACGGGAGGCAGCAGUGGGGAAUAUUGGACAAUGGGCGCAAGCCUGAUCCAGCCAUACCGCGUGGGUGAAGAAGGCCUUCGGGUUGUAAAGCCCUUUUGUUGGGAAAGAAAAGCAGCAGGUUAAUACCCCGCUGUUCUGACGGUACCCAAAGAAUAAGCACCGGCUAACUUCGUG